GUCUGGGGAUCUGCCUGAUGGAGGGGGAUAACUACUGGAAACGGUAGCUAAUACCGCAUGAUGUUACGCGACCAAAGCGGGGGACCUCCGGGCCUCGCGCCAUCAGAUGAACCCAGAUGGGAUUAGCUAGUAGGAGAGGUAAUGGCUCCCCUAGGCGACGAUCCCUAGCUGGUCUGAGAGGAUAACCAGCCACACUGGAACUGAGAGACGGUCCAGACUCCUACGGGAGGCAGCAGUGGGGAAUAUUGCACAAUGGGCGCAAGCCUGAUGCAGCCAUGCCGCGUGUGUGAAGAAGGACUUCGGGUU
Molecule: ribosomal RNA, 306 nt
Filed under: gamma proteobacterium endosymbiont of Schizaphis rufula
Lineage: Bacteria; Pseudomonadati; Pseudomonadota; Gammaproteobacteria
Description: bacterial SSU rRNA
Rfam family: Bacterial small subunit ribosomal RNA
Source: RNAcentral